CCGUGGCUGAGGGGGGCAUUGCUAUUGGAGGCAUCGUGGGCAUUAAUACUGCUUUACAAGAGGUGCUGACCACUCUCAUCCAUAAUGGCCUAGCAUAUGUAAUUCUGAAAGCUGUCUGUCUUAGACAAGUGCCACGUCCACCUCUGUGUGCUUGCAUCCCACCGUGAUGGCCUGUGGAUUUCAAGCUGGUGGAGGCCCUCCGUGCUGAACACCAAAUCCACCCAAAUAAGCUGAUGACAUCAAGAAACUGAGACUGGGUAGGCCUUGGUGAAAUUGACAGAGAGGGAAAGCCCAGUAAUGUGGUUGGUUGCAGUUCUGGUGUAGUUAAGGGCUAUGGCAAAUAAUCUAAGGCCAAGAAUGUCAUCAAAGAGUACUGUACUUCCAA
RNAcentral lists this long non-coding RNA (385 nucleotides) under Homo sapiens (human). RNAcentral's name for it is "non-protein coding lnc-ODF1-4:1". Lineage: Eukaryota; Metazoa; Chordata; Mammalia; Primates; Hominidae. The record is from RNAcentral.